UUCCCCUACGGGACGCAGCAGUGAGGAAUAUUGGUCAAUGGCCGGAAGGCUGAACCAGCCAAGCCGCGUGAAGGACGAAGGUGCCAAGCAUUGUAAACUUCUUUUGUCAAGGGACAAAAUCAGGCUCGAGAGCCUGACCGAGGGUACUUGAAGAAAAAGCAUCGGCUAACUCCGUGCCAGCAGCCGCGGUAAUACGUAGGUGGCAAGCGUUGUCCGGAUUUACUGGGUGUAAAGGGCGUGCAGCCGGGCUGACAAGUCAGAUGUGAAAUCCCGCGGCUCAACCGCGGA
RNAcentral lists this ribosomal RNA (288 nucleotides) under uncultured bacterium. RNAcentral's name for it is "partial 16S ribosomal RNA". It matches the Rfam family "Bacterial small subunit ribosomal RNA", at positions 334 to 619 of the family's 1533-position model. The record is from RNAcentral.